This 689-nucleotide ribosomal RNA is filed under the name uncultured bacterium. RNAcentral describes it as "bacterial SSU rRNA". It matches the Rfam family "Bacterial small subunit ribosomal RNA", at positions 56 to 760 of the family's 1533-position model. The record is from RNAcentral.
UGCAGUCGACGAGAGAGAGGGAGCUUGCUUCCUCGAUCGAGUGGCGAACGGGUGAGUAACGCGUGAGGAACCUGCCUCAAAGAGGGGGACAACAGUUGGAAACGACUGCUAAUACCGCAUAAGCCCACGGCUCGGCAUCGAGCAGAGGGAAAAGGAGCAAUCCGCUUUGAGAUGGCCUCGCGUCCGAUUAGCUAGUUGGUGAGGUAACGGCCCACCAAGGCGACGAUCGGUAGCCGGACUGAGAGGUUGAACGGCCACAUUGGGACUGAGACACGGCCCAGACUCCUACGGGAGGCAGCAGUGGGGAAUAUUGCACAAUGGGGGAAACCCUGAUGCAGCGACGCCGCGUGGAGGAAGAAGGUCUUCGGAUUGUAAACUCCUGUUGUUGAGGAAGAUAAUGACGGUACUCAACAAGGAAGUGACGGCUAACUACGUGCCAGCAGCCGCGGUAAAACGUAGGUCACAAGCGUUGUCCGGAAUUACUGGGUGUAAAGGGAGCGCAGGCGGGCGAUCAAGUUGGAAGUGAAAUCCAUGGGCUCAACCCAUGAACUGCUUUCAAAACUGAUUGUCUUGAGUAGUGCAGAGGUAGGCGGAAUUCCCGGUGUAGCGGUGGAAUGCGUAGAUAUCGGGAGGAACACCAGUGGCGAAGGCGGCCUACUGGGCACCAACUGACGCUGAGGCUCGAAAGU